AUUGAACGCUGGCGGCAUGCCUUACACAUGCAAGUCGAACGGUAACGCGGGGCAACCUGGCGACGAGUGGCGAACGGGUGAGUAAUAUAUCGGAACGUGCCCAGUAGUGGGGGAUAGCCCGGCGAAAGCCGGAUUAAUACCGCAUACGACCUACGGGUGAAAGGCGGGGGAUCGCAAGACCUCGCGCUAUUGGAGCGGCCGAUAUCAGAUUAGGUAGUUGGUGGGGUAAAGGCCUACAAGCCUACGAUCUGUAGCUGGUCUGAGAGGACGACCAGCCACACUGGGACUGAGACACGGCCCAGACUCCUACGGGAGGCAGCAGUGGGAAUUUUGGACAAUGGGCGC
Molecule: ribosomal RNA, 345 nt
Filed under: uncultured bacterium
Lineage: Bacteria
Description: bacterial SSU rRNA
Rfam family: Bacterial small subunit ribosomal RNA
Source: RNAcentral